UUCGCAAUGCCCGAAAGGGUGACGAAGCGACGCCGCGUGAGUGAGUAAGGCCUUCGGGUUGUAAAACUCUGUCAGGGGUUAAGAAAGGUAGGUCUGUGAAUACCAGGCUUAUUUGACAAAAGCCCCAAAGGAAGCCACGGCUAACUCUGUGCCAGCAGCCGCGGUAAUACAGAGGUGGCAAGCGUUGUUCGGAAUUAUUGGGCGUAAAGAGCACGUAGGUGGGUUUGUAAGUCAGGUGUGAAAGCCUUCUGUUCAAAGGAAGAACUGCAUCUGAAACUACAUUUCUUGAGUAUAGGAGGGGAGAGUAGAACUUCUGGUGGAGCGGUGAAAUGCGUAGAUAUCAGAAGGAACGUCGGCGGCGAAAGCGACUCUCUAGCCUAUUACUGACACUGAGUGUGCGAAAGUUAGGGGAGCAAACGGGAUUAGAUACCCCGGUAGUCCUAACCGUAAACGAUGGGCACUAAGUAGAGGGGUUUU
Molecule: ribosomal RNA, 477 nt
Filed under: Candidatus Scalindua brodae
Lineage: Bacteria; Pseudomonadati; Planctomycetota; Candidatus Brocadiia; Candidatus Brocadiales; Candidatus Scalinduaceae
Description: bacterial SSU rRNA
Rfam family: Bacterial small subunit ribosomal RNA
Source: RNAcentral